GCCGGAGUGGUGAAACUGGUAGACGCGCCGGACUCAAAAUCCGGUGGAGGCGACUCCGUGUGGGUUCGAGUCCCACCUCCGGCACCA
RNAcentral lists this transfer RNA (87 nucleotides) under Nitrospirota bacterium. RNAcentral describes it as "Nitrospirae bacterium tRNA-Leu". It matches the Rfam family "tRNA". From Rfam's summary of the family: Transfer RNA (tRNA) molecules are approximately 80 nucleotides in length. The record is from RNAcentral. Lineage: Bacteria; Pseudomonadati; Nitrospirota.